This 1951-nucleotide ribosomal RNA is filed under the name Escherichia coli. Its description in RNAcentral is "partial 23S ribosomal RNA". It matches the Rfam family "Bacterial large subunit ribosomal RNA", at positions 165 to 2136 of the family's 2925-position model. The record is from RNAcentral. Lineage: Bacteria; Pseudomonadati; Pseudomonadota; Gammaproteobacteria; Enterobacterales; Enterobacteriaceae.
CAUAGGUUAAUGAGGCGAACCGGGGGAACUGAAACAUCUAAGUACCCCGAGGAAAAGAAAUCAACCGAGAUUCCCCCAGUAGCGGCGAGCGAACGGGGAGCAGCCCAGAGCCUGAAUCAGUGUGUGUGUUAGUGGAAGCGUCUGGAAAGGCGCGCGAUACAGGGUGACAGCCCCGUACACAAAAAUGCACAUGCUGUGAGCUCGAUGAGUAGGGCGGGACACGUGGUAUCCUGUCUGAAUAUGGGGGGACCAUCCUCCAAGGCUAAAUACUCCUGACUGACCGAUAGUGAACCAGUACCGUGAGGGAAAGGCGAAAAGAACCCCGGCGAGGGGAGUGAAAAAGAACCUGAAACCGUGUACGUACAAGCAGUGGGAGCACAGAGCAAUCUGUGUGACUGCGUACCUUUUGUAUAAUGGGUCAGCGACUUAUAUUCUGUAGCAAGGUUAACCGAAUAGGGGAGCCGAAGGGAAACCGAGUCUUAACUGGGCGUUAAGUUGCAGGGUAUAGACCCGAAACCCGGUGAUCUAGCCAUGGGCAGGUUGAAGGUUGGGUAACACUAACUGGAGGACCGAACCGACUAAUGUUGAAAAAUUAGCGGAUGACUUGUGGCUGGGGGUGAAAGGCCAAUCAAACCGGGAGAUAGCUGGUUCUCCCCGAAAGCUAUUUAGGUAGCGCCUCGUGAAUUCAUCUCCGGGGGUAGAGCACUGUUUCGGCAAGGGGGUCAUCCCGACUUACCAACCCGAUGCAAACUGCGAAUACCGGAGAAUGUUAUCACGGGAGACACACGGCGGGUGCUAACGUCCGUCGUGAAGAGGGAAACAACCCAGACCGCCAGCUAAGGUCCCAAAGUCAUGGUUAAGUGGGAAACGAUGUGGGAAGGCCCAGACAGCCAGGAUGUUGGCUUAGAAGCAGCCAUCAUUUAAAGAAAGCGUAAUAGCUCACUGGUCGAGUCGGCCUGCGCGGAAGAUGUAACGGGGCUAAACCAUGCACCGAAGCUGCGGCAGCGACGCUUAUGCGUUGUUGGGUAGGGGAGCGUUCUGUAAGCCUGUGAAGGUGUGCUGUGAGGCAUGCUGGAGGUAUCAGAAGUGCGAAUGCUGACAUAAGUAACGAUAAAGCGGGUGAAAAGCCCGCUCGCCGGAAGACCAAGGGUUCCUGUCCAACGUUAAUCGGGGCAGGGUGAGUCGACCCCUAAGGCGAGGCCGAAAGGCGUAGUCGAUGGGAAACAGGUUAAUAUUCCUGUACUUGGUGUUACUGCGAAGGGGGGACGGAGAAGGCUAUGUUGGCCGGGCGACGGUUGUCCCGGUUUAAGCGUGUAGGCUGGUUUUCCAGGCAAAUCCGGAAAAUCAAGGCUGAGGCGUGAUGACGAGGCACUACGGUGCUGAAGCAACAAAUGCCCUGCUUCCAGGAAAAGCCUCUAAGCAUCAGGUAACAUCAAAUCGUACCCCAAACCGACACAGGUGGUCAGGUAGAGAAUACCAAGGCGCUUGAGAGAACUCGGGUGAAGGAACUAGGCAAAAUGGUGCCGUAACUUCGGGAGAAGGCACGCUGAUAUGUAGGUGAGGUCCCUCGCGGAUGGAGCUGAAAUCAGUCGAAGAUACCAGCUGGCUGCAACUGUUUAUUAAAAACACAGCACUGUGCAAACACGAAAGUGGACGUAUACGGUGUGACGCCUGCCCGGUGCCGGAAGGUUAAUUGAUGGGGUUAGCGGUAACGCGAAGCUCUUGAUCGAAGCCCCGGUAAACGGCGGCCGUAACUAUAACGGUCCUAAGGUAGCGAAAUUCCUUGUCGGGUAAGUUCCGACCUGCACGAAUGGCGUAAUGAUGGCCAGGCUGUCUCCACCCGAGACUCAGUGAAAUUGAACUCGCUGUGAAGAUGCAGUGUACCCGCGGCAAGACGGAAAGACCCCGUGAACCUUUACUAUAGCUUGACACUGAACAUUGAGCCUUGAUG